CAGGCCUAACACAUGCAAGUCGAACGAUGACUCUCUAGCUUGCUAGAGAUGAUUAGUGGCGGACGGGUGAGUAACAUUUAGGAAUCUGCCUAGUAGUGGGGGAUAGCUCGGGGAAACUCGAAUUAAUACCGCAUACGACCUACGGGUGAAAGGGGGCGCAAGCUCUUGCUAUUAGAUGAGCCUAAAUCAGAUUAGCUAGUUGGUGGGGUAAAGGCCCACCAAGGCGACGAUCUGUAACUGGUCUGAGAGGAUGAUCAGUCACACCGGAACUCAGACACGGUCCGGACUCCUACGGGAGGCAGCAGUGGGGAAUAUUGGACAAUGGGGGCAACCCUGAUCCAGCCACGCCGCGUGUGUGAAGAAGGCCUUUUGGUUGUAAAGCACUUUAAGCAGGGAGGAG
Molecule: ribosomal RNA, 400 nt
Filed under: uncultured bacterium
Lineage: Bacteria
Description: bacterial SSU rRNA
Rfam family: Bacterial small subunit ribosomal RNA
Source: RNAcentral